Long non-coding RNA from Bombyx mori (domestic silkworm), 594 nucleotides. RefSeq lists it as uncharacterized. Lineage: Eukaryota; Metazoa; Arthropoda; Insecta; Lepidoptera; Bombycidae. The transcript is spliced from 2 exons. The record is from RefSeq and is a predicted model, not a curated record.
CAUUGUUUUCCUACGAAAAUAUACAGUUAUGGAAAUGGGUAACUGGAUACAUAAUUACAUAAAUUUUUUCACGUCUAAAAAAAUGUUUACCAAGUGACAAUUGGCGUUGUCUAUGAAGGCACAUUAUCAUGUCAAAGUCAAGUCCACUUUGACGCCGAAACAAACAAAACUAGAAAACACCGAACUUACCUUGAUAACGGCAAAGAACUGAUCGCUGCGUCAGGAUUCGACGAAGUUUAUGCAAAUGGCACACGUUAAAGUUUCACCCGUAUUUGUACUGGAUGUGGAGUACACUAUCGCGAGAGUUAUGGACCGAUAAACUCGCUGUGGAACUCCAACUGUUACUUUUCAAACACACAUCCCUGUGAGAGCGGCUCCCGGUUAAAUUACCAAGUAAAGCUGCAAAUUGAAAUGGUUCGACGCACGCCGAUCGGACGAGCCUUCACAAUUCCAUCGACACUAACUCUGUAAAUAUCACUGAUUUCAUUCAAUCCGUUUUCUGACUCGAUCGAAGCCAUUACAAUUUUAUUAGAAGUUCAUGAUACAAUCAAACAAAGUAAAUUUUCAAUAAAAGAAACAACGAUACUGUUUUAA